CCUACGGGUGGCUGCAGUGGGGAAUAUUGGACAAUGGGGGCAACCCUGAUCCAGCCAUGCCGCGUGUGUGAAGAAGGCCCUCGGGUUGUAAAGCACUUUCAGUGAGGAAGAACGCCUGGUGGUUAAUACCCAUCAGGAAAGACAUCACUCACAGAAGAAGCACCGGCUAACUCCGUGCCAGCAGCCGCGGUAAUACGGAGGGUGCGAGCGUUAAUCGGAAUUACUGGGCGUAAAGCGCGCGUAGGUGGCUUGAUAAGCCGGUUGUGAAAGCCCCGGGCUCAACCUGGGAACGGCAUCCGGAACUGUCAAGCUAGAGUGCAGGAGAGGAAGGUAGAAUUCCCGGUGUAGCGGUGAAAUGCGUAGAGAUCGGGAGGAAUACCAGUGGCGAAGGCGGCCUUCUGGACUGACACUGACACUGAGGUGUGAAAGCGUGGGUAGCAAACAGGAUUAGAUACCCGGGUAGUC
Molecule: ribosomal RNA, 465 nt
Filed under: Vreelandella stevensii
Lineage: Bacteria; Pseudomonadati; Pseudomonadota; Gammaproteobacteria; Oceanospirillales; Halomonadaceae
Description: partial 16S ribosomal RNA
Rfam family: Bacterial small subunit ribosomal RNA
Source: RNAcentral